This 731-nucleotide ribosomal RNA is filed under the name uncultured Verrucomicrobium sp. RNAcentral describes it as "bacterial SSU rRNA". It matches the Rfam family "Bacterial small subunit ribosomal RNA", at positions 145 to 862 of the family's 1533-position model. The record is from RNAcentral. Lineage: Bacteria; Pseudomonadati; Verrucomicrobiota; Verrucomicrobiia; Verrucomicrobiales; Verrucomicrobiaceae.
AGCUCGCCGAAAGGCGAAUUAAUACCGCAUGUGGCCAAGGAAGACAUCUUCCUGACGCCAAAGCCGGGGCAACCUGGCGCUUCUCGAGGGGCUCGCGGCCUAUCAGCUUGUUGGUGAGGUAACGGCUCACCAAGGCUAUGACGGGUAGAUGGUCUGAGAGGACGGCCAGCCACACUGGAACUGAGACACGGUCCAGACACCUACAGGUGGCAGCAGUCGAGAAUUUUUCACAAUGGGGGAAACCCUGAUGGAGCGACGCCGCGUGGAGGAUGAAGGUCUUCGGAUUGUAAACUCCUGUCAUUAGAGAACAAGGCACACGGUUUAACUGGCCGUGUGUUGAUAGUAUCUGAAGAGGAAGAGACGGCUAACUCUGUGCCAGCAGCCGCGGUAAUACAGAGGUCUCAAGCGUUGUUCGGAUUCAUUGGGCGUAAAGGGUGCGUAGGUGGCGAUGUAAGUCGGAUGUGAAAUCUCCAAGCUUAACUUGGAAACUGCAUUCGAUACUGCGUUGCUAGAGGACUGUAGAGGGCAUUGGAAUUCACGGUGUAGCAGUGAAAUGCGUAGAUAUCGUGAGGAAGACCAGUGGCGAAGGCGAAUGCCUGGGCAGUUCCUGACACUGAGGCACGAAGGCCAGGGGAGCAAACGGGAUUAGAUACCCCGGUAGUCCUGGCAGUAAACGGUGCACGUUUGGUGUGGGAGGAUUCGACCCCUUCCGUGCCGGAGCAAACGCGUUA